GCAAAAGCAGCUUACAAUAGAGCAGUAUACAUUAGUAGACAAAAUACUUACGCUGGACAAAUUUAACUAAAUUAACCACAAUAUACACCCUACCAAGUAAUUAAAUUUAUUAGUAUAUAUCAUAACAUGAGUUCAUUAGGUUUUAUUACAAAUAAUUAGUAUUUACAAUUUACAUUAAGAGGUACUUAGCAAUUCUUAUUAUGUAAAAUAAUGUUUAUUUUUGUUAAUCUGUAUGGAUAUCAUAAGUAUUGGAUUAGAAAUUUGAAUAUUUUACUUAUUUUGUGUGUGAAGUCUAUUUUCACUAUAUUUAUUUUAUUUUAUUAACACCAAAUAGCAUUAUAUAAAGAAUAAGUGAAAAUACAUAAAUUAUGGUGAAAUGAUAACAAUACAAAUUUAUUUUUGACAGAAUUAAAACUAAGAUCAUUACAUGCAAAAAGUGAAUAAAACAGUAUAUUAACAAACAAUAUAAAAGCAAAUAUAUACAAAAUAAACUAGGUGGCUUUAUUGGUACGGCGAAGUAUGCGGUGUAAAGGAUGGUUGUGAUUGUAGGAGGUGGAGUAGGUAGGGAUAUUAAAGGGUGUAUGAUAUUUUGAGGGGUAAGUAGGAACAAGGAAAUUAACAGAGGAAAGGUGGUCUGGGGCAUCUAUUUUUAACGGGCCUAAUGUAACGAUGUUGUCUUAGAAAAAAAACUUGAUAAAAAUAAAUAAACUCCAACUUGAGUGUUAUAAAUAAAUAAUAUUUCCAUAUAAAAUAUUACAAUAAACUGUGUUCAAUUAAUUCAAACAACACAAAUACACAAGUUUAAUAAAUAAAUUCACAAAAAUAAUACAAGUCCAAAUAACAAUAAAUAGAGUAAUGCGAAAUUGGUCACAUUUGAUUGUGGUAGACUCGUCUGAUUUGACAAUGUUAUAUAUUCUAAUGCUUAUUUAUAGUGGCUGCUAUCUAUAUUUUAUUGCUGGCACCGGCUAAUACCAAAAAUUAUAUUAUAUUAUGUUACAACCCAGGCCCACUCAUUUUAUUUUUAUAUGUAUUUUUUUUUUAUUAAAUUUAGAAUAUGGCUGGUGUAGGUUCGUGUGCCGAAACUAUAUUUGGGUGCUGUGUAUUUUUACAUGCCUACUGGUAGGUAUUCGGUUCCAUAUGUGGUGAUUAGCACCAUAUACAGCCUGCCUCUUGCUGGGGGCACGUGUGGGCACAUAACAUAUUGAAUCAUCAAGUAGACUUUGAAUAAAACAAAAAUCAGUAUCAAUUUGUUGAAAAGAAAGCGUGGAGAUCUUUAGUUUUAAAAGUAUAGUAGUAGUUAUGUUGUGGAUGCACAAUUUUAAGUAGGGAAUAGAUAUAUGAAAGAAACCUAUUCUGGACUGUCUCUAGUCUUAACUGGUCUUUCACUAAAUGAGAGUGUCAAACUAUUAUACAGUACUCUAAAAUUGGGUGUACAAGGAAUAGGUUAAGUGUACAAAGACAGUGGACAGAGCUAAAUAUUUUAGUGUUACGUUUUAAGAAACCCAGGACUUUCAGUGCUUUGCAGACAGUAACAUUAAUGUGGUGGUUUUUUAAAUUUAAAUUCCUCAGGUAUUAUAUGUAAGUUCCUACAUAUUUCAAUAAUAAUUAAAUUAUUUGUAUAAUUUGUAAUAAAGUUUGAGAUGAACAAUCACGCAAUAUUUCAUAGUUUACUUAAAAGGAUGCAUAUUAAACAUUAAAUAAAAAUAAUACUAUUCUUAAAAAAUAUUGAGAAUUAACAAAUACCUACCUACCUUCAAAAAAAUAAAACCUUACUAGAUACCUAUCUAUGACAAAAUAAUUUUAUUUUUAGAUUUAUUUAAGAUAAAAAUAACCAAAAAACAAUUAAGUACAUUACCUAUACUGUAUAGGUAGCCAGGUAGGUAACCUUUACAUGACAGCACAAAACAAUUUUUUGACAUGGUUUAAUACAAAAAAAAAACUUGCAACAUGUAUUCAUGUAAUUAUAUGGUAUAACAUUUAUUAAUUAUUAAUAAAAUAAUGAACAUAUAAUACAAAAACCGUAAAAUGUCCUAUAGCACUUGUAUAAAAUGAGCAUGACUAAUGUUUGUAGCACACUGUUGGAAGUUACAAAUUUGGGACAUUUUUUAUCUGUCCAGCUGUAAUCGGUGUUCUUACUCUAAUGUUCUUGUCUAUGAGAUAUAUCUGGUUGUUAUCUCGUGAUGCUGAACCACACAAUGUCUGUCUUAGAAAUAUGUUGGUAGUCGAGAUAAGAGGAAAGUACCCUAGUUUAAAUUUAAUAUGAACUUUGUGAAGGUAAAUAAUAUCUAAUGUUUUGUAAAUGUAAAAUGUACAUUUUUUAGGGAUAGAUAUGCACUUUAUGCAAAAAGUUUGUUGUAUUAAAUACUUCACACAACUGUACUGAUGAUACAAAAUUAUAAACUAGUAUUAGUACUAGUAAGUUGUACUAUUGAUUUUAAAGUUAAUACCUACUAGUAGAACAUAAUUGGUUAUUUUUUAACAGAUAUAUUUAUAUUCUAGAAUAAUUUUUUAAUCAAAUAUAUUCUGGG
This 2528-nucleotide long non-coding RNA is filed under the name Cinara cedri. Lineage: Eukaryota; Metazoa; Arthropoda; Insecta; Hemiptera; Aphididae. The record is from RNAcentral.